GCUCUGUGUACGCAAGGGCUACACAGGCCGAUCACUGAAAAACAGGUGGUCAGCUCAGUCAUCCUGCUUCGGCAAACACACUACUAGGUUUGGCAUAACGUAGAGUAUGCAGAAAGCUGAAAUACGAAGCCAGC
This 134-nucleotide non-coding RNA is filed under the name unclassified sequences. The record is from Rfam.